RNAcentral lists this ribosomal RNA (478 nucleotides) under uncultured bacterium. Its description in RNAcentral is "bacterial SSU rRNA". It matches the Rfam family "Bacterial small subunit ribosomal RNA", at positions 34 to 507 of the family's 1533-position model. The record is from RNAcentral.
CGCUGGCGGCGUGCUUAACACAUGCAAGUCGAACGAGAGGAGAAGGAAGCUUGCUNUUCAAAUCUAGUGGCAAACGGGUGAGUAACACGUAAACAACCUGCCUUCAGGAUGGGGGACAACAGACGGAAACGACUGCUAAUACCGAAUACGUUCCUUAGGUCGCAUGACUUUAGGAAGAAAGGGUGGCCUCUACCUGUAAGCUAUCGCCUGAAGAGGGGUUUGCGUCUGAUUAGCUAGUUGGUGAGGUAACGGCUCACCAAGGCGACGAUGCGUAGCCGACCUGAGAGGGUGAUCGGCCACAUUGGGACUGAGACACGGCCCAGACUCCUACGGGAGGCAGCAGUGGGGAAUAUUGCACAAUGGGGGAAACCCUGAUGCAGCAACGCCGCGUGAGUGAUGACGGUCUUCGGGUUGUAAAGCUCUGUCUUCAGGGACGAUAAUGACGGUACCUGAGGAGGAAGCCACGGCUAACUACGUG